Molecule: ribosomal RNA, 492 nt
Filed under: uncultured bacterium
Lineage: Bacteria
Description: partial 16S ribosomal RNA
Rfam family: Bacterial small subunit ribosomal RNA
Source: RNAcentral
AGUGAACGCUGGCGGUAGGCCUAACACAUGCAAGUUGAACGGCAGCACAGUAAGAGCUUGCUCGUACGGGUGGCGAGUGGCGGACGGGUGAGGAAUACAUCGGGAUCUACUUUUUCGUGGGGGAUAACGUAGGGAAACUUACGCUAAUACCUCAUACGACCUACGGGUGAAAGCAGGGGAUCUUCGGACCUUGCGCGAUUGAAUGAGCCGAUGUCGGAUUAGCUAGUUGGCGGGGUAAAGGCCCACCGAGGCGACAAUCCGUAGCGGGUCUGAGAGGAUGAUCAGCCACACUGGAACUGAGACACGGUCCAGACUCCUACGGGAGGCAGAAGUGGGGAAUAUUGGACAAUGGGCGCAAGCCUGAUCCAGCCAUACCGCGUGGGUGAAGAAGGCCUUCGGGUUGUAAAGCCCUUUUGUUGGGAAAGAAAAGCAGCAGGUUAAUACCCCGCUGUUCUGACGGUACCCAAAGAAUAAGCACCGGCUAACUUCGUG